RNAcentral lists this ribosomal RNA (266 nucleotides) under uncultured gamma proteobacterium 400m-FREE-6. RNAcentral describes it as "partial 16S ribosomal RNA". It matches the Rfam family "Bacterial small subunit ribosomal RNA", at positions 8 to 279 of the family's 1533-position model. Lineage: Bacteria; Pseudomonadati; Pseudomonadota; Gammaproteobacteria. The record is from RNAcentral.
AGAGUUUGAUCAUGGCUCAGAUUGAACGCUGGCGGCAGGCCUAACACAUGCAAGUCGAACGGUAACAUGACUAGCUUGCUAAACGAUGACCAGUGGCGGACGGGUGAGUAAUGCUUGGGAACUUGCCUUUGCGAGGGGGAUAACAGUUGGAAACGACUGCUAAUACCGCUUAAUGUCUACGGACCAAACGGGGCUUCGGCUCCGGCGCAAACAUAGGCCCGAGUGAGAUUAGCUAGUUGGUAAGGUAAUGGCUUCCAAGGCACCAA